This is an RNA transcript of Sesamum indicum (sesame), 1444 nucleotides long. RefSeq lists it as uncharacterized. Lineage: Eukaryota; Viridiplantae; Streptophyta; Magnoliopsida; Lamiales; Pedaliaceae. The record is from RefSeq and is a predicted model, not a curated record.
CAAGAAAAUUUUAAAAUUCUUCCAGUACUUUGAAUCAGAGAGAGAAAUAUUAUAAUCAGACAUUCUAAACUAAAGUUUAAUAAACAAUUUCCUUCAAAAAAAAAAAGAAUUCCUUCGUCCAGUUUCUAUCAAUUAUCAAAUCACAAUCCUUUCCCGAAAGAUCUUCGGCGGUGGCAGUUGGGGGAUAUAGAGUGCUGUGAUGGGGGCGCUGCUGUCAAAGAUGUGGUUCAUGUUGUUCCCCGCGACGGAGUACAAGAUCGUGGUGGUGGGUCUGGAUAACGCCGGCAAAACGACGACCCUUUACAAGCUGCAUUUGGGGGAGGUGGUCACCACGCACCCUACUGUUGGUAGCAACGUUGAGGAGCUUGUCUAUAAGAACAUUAGAUUCGAGGUCUGGGAUCUUGGUGGACAAGAUAGGCUCCGGACAUCAUGGGCAACAUAUUAUCGCGGGACUCAUGCUGUUAUCGUAGUGAUAGACAGUACUGACAGAGCGAGGAUCUCUAUUAUGAAGGAUGAAAUAUUUAAGCUGCUUCCACAUGAGGAUUUACAGAGUGCGGUCGUGCUCAUCUUUGCAAACAAACAGGAUCUCAAGGACGCCAUGACACCUGCCGAAAUAACCGAUGCACUUUCGCUUCACAGUAUCAAGAACCAUGAUUGGCAUAUUCAAGCUUGCUCCGCGCUCACUGGUGAAGGUCUCUAUGAUGGAUUGGGGUGGAUUGCUCAGAGAGUAACUGGGAAAGCACCAAGCUAGAAGAAUCAACAGACUCACAUCAGAAACGUCCAUUUCCAUGUUCCAAACUCAGGUUGCUGUGUUUGCUGAUUAAACGUUUGAGGCCAGGAGCAUACUUCUGAAUGAUUUAGAAGUGUUAUUUUGAAGGGCACAUAUGAAUCUGAAGGUCUUUGUAAUAGGGUGGUUUUGGGAGCUGCAGCCCACUGUAUAGUUCUACUUAUUUCUAGCUUUUACAAUCUGGUGAGCGGCAUGAUCAAUUCUUUUCCCAUCUGAGUAGAUUAUAAACCGUCGGAUCAUGCUUAAUGAUGUCAAUAUUUUAUUUUAUAAUAUUUUUACAUUUUAUUUAAUAUUCAGCAUCUUUGGGUGCCUACUCAAGUGUAUGGUUUUGGAAUGCAUUUGGGAUAAUGAUGGACAAACGAAAACAGCAGUUACUGUACAAUAAAAGAACAAUGUAGAUGUAAUGAAAGCUACCACUCAAUCACAUAGAAAUUUAUAAAUGAAUUGGGUUGAAAAUUCCAUCAGUUUUUUCAACAUCAUACAUUCCUUAAUAUCUGUUACUGUGAAUGCCACUCCAACAUCCAGAGUCUGAUGAAUCUGCUGAAGUGUGACAACGAGGUUGUUUCUGAAAGAACGAUCAUCUUGUGUUCAUAGAAUACACUGUGUAUUGUGGUCACCUGUUGUAAGCGAAUUUAUCUGCAAAGUCCACUUGAAAAA